Molecule: long non-coding RNA, 822 nt
Organism: Phragmites australis (common reed)
Lineage: Eukaryota; Viridiplantae; Streptophyta; Magnoliopsida; Poales; Poaceae
Exons: 2
Source: RefSeq, a predicted model, not a curated record
GGGGAGGGGGCGCCGUGGGCUCCUGCCAGUCCUGGCUCCGCCCUAAGAGCUGGUCCCACUGACGCCUCAUCGUCGUUAACUGCUACGCCACCAUGCCACGGGACGUGGUCGAGCGGUGAGCACCGCCGAGGUCAAGGGCAAGCCUCGCUUCACGGACUUCGGGCUCGUGUUUCUAGGUUUGAGAUCGACCUGGGCAAUCAGAUCGACUGGUUCAAAGGAAUGCGCCGCGUCUGGGUCCAGAUUUGAGCUAAAAAUGGAAGCUUUGCGUGGUUCUAGGUUUCCUUUGCGUGAAGAUUUGAGCUUUCUGGGAGUUGCGCUUUCGAAACUUUGACGAAAAGUUCUUCCUUUUCCAAGGUGAUUUUUCUUUCUUCUCCUUUUGCUAGAUACCUUCAAAUUGUGCUUCAUUUAUUCAACAAUAUCGGAUUCGGAUCUUUCCUCAAGGUCUUGGUGAAUAACUUGGAUGUUCUUCUCGGGUAUGGCCUUCAUAGUGUUCUGUUAAGUAACCUAGAUGAAGCUUGCUUAAAACAUUGUGUGAUUUGUGGGCUGCUGUGCUAGAAAUUUGUGGUCGUGGUGCAUAUAGUGGAAUAUGGUUGGUUCAGGGUUUUUCGUCCAACAGAGAUCGUUCAUUCCAGUAGUAUUAGUAAACGAUUGAUGCCCCAUGCGGCAAGUGAAGCUACCAAAAGAGCUACAGAGCAUAACUGUAAUCAAAUAUCAUGUAGCUUUCCAGAUGAGGACUUCAGCAUUUUUUAGUAAUGUUUCAAACUGCAAGUGUGUUUCAGGUUGUCAAUAUCUGAUAUAAUGAAAUGGAAACUAUUUGGGGAA